This 968-nucleotide ribosomal RNA is filed under the name uncultured bacterium. RNAcentral's name for it is "bacterial SSU rRNA". It matches the Rfam family "Bacterial small subunit ribosomal RNA", at positions 535 to 1501 of the family's 1533-position model. The record is from RNAcentral.
GGGGGGAGGUUUCGGAUUACUGGGCGUAAGCGCGUGUAGGCGGCCGCACAGGUCCGUUGUGAAAACUGGAGGCUUAACCUUCAGACGUCGACGGAAACCGUGUGGCUAGAGUCCGGAAGAGGAGAGUGGAAUUCCUGGUGUAGCGGUGAAAUGCGCAGAUAUCAGGAAGAACACCAAUGGCGAAGGCAGCUCUCUGGGACGGUACUGACGCUGAGACGCGAAAGCGUGGGGAGCGAACAGGAUUAGAUACCCUGGUAGUCCACGCCGUAAACGAUGGGUGCUAGGUGUGGGAGGUGUCGACUCCUUCCGUGCCGCAGCUAACGCAUUAAGCACCCCGCCUGGGGAGUACGGCCGCAAGGCUAAAACUCAAAGGAAUUGACGGGGCCCCGCACAAGCAGCGGAGCAUGUGGUUUAAUUCGAUGCAACGCGAAGAACCUUACCAGGGCUUGACAUGGUCGGGAAAACCGUAGAAAUACGGUCCUCCUUCGGGACUCGAUCACAGGUGGUGCAUGGCUGUCGUCAGCUCGUGUCGUGAGAUGUUGGGUUAAGUCCCGCAACGAGCGCAACCCCUGUCCCAUGUUGCCAGCGAGUCAUGUCGGGGACUCAUGGGAGACUGCCGGUGACAAAUCGGAGGAAGGUGGGGAUGAUGUCAAGUCAUCAUGCCCCUUAUGUCCUGGGCUACACACGUGCUACAUUGGCCGGUACAGAGGGCUGCAAACCCGCGAGGGUGAGCGAAUCCCAAAAAGCCGGUCCCGGUUCGGAUUGAAGGCUGAACUCGCCUUCAUGAAGGCGGAGUUGCUAGUAAUCGCGGAUCAGCAACGUCGCGGUGAAUACGUUCUCGGGGCUUGUACACACCGCCCGUCACACCACGAAAGUUGGCAAUACCCGAAGCCGGUGGGCUAACCCCUCGGGGAGGCAGCCGUCGAAGGUAGGGUCGAUGAUUGGGGUGAAGUCGUAACAAGGUAACC